Molecule: ribosomal RNA, 253 nt
Filed under: uncultured bacterium
Lineage: Bacteria
Description: partial 16S ribosomal RNA
Rfam family: Bacterial small subunit ribosomal RNA
Source: RNAcentral
UACGAAGGGGGCUAGCGUUGCUCGGAAUUACUGGGCGUAAAGCGCACGUAGGCGGAUCUUUAAGUCAGGGGUGAAGUCCUGGAGCUCAACUCCAGAACUGCCUUUGAUACUGAGGACCUUGAGUUCGGGAGAGGUGAGUGGAACUGCGAGUGUAGAGGUGAAAUUCGUAGAUAUUCGCAAGAACACCAGUGGCGAAGGCGGCUCACUGGCCCGAUACUGACGCUGAGGUGCGAAAGCGUGGGGAGCAAACAGG